UUUCUCUUUAGGAAGAAAUUGAAUACAACAAUCAAUAUAUUAUUUUUAAUUAUUUUUUGUAAUUAUUGCCAUAAUGUUGAUUCAAAUUAUUACCAAAUAAAACAAAAUUUCAAAAAUAUUCUAAAGUGAUAUGCAUUAAUAUUAAUUGCUUAUGGGCAUUUUUCCAAGAAAAUCAAAUCCAAUUCAUCUCAUGUAGCACCUCUCCCAUUUUAUUCACGUGCACCCCCUUUUUUCUUUUUUUUCUUCCUUCCUUUUUUCCUUUUGUUUUUCCUUUUCCUUUUUUCUUCUUUUGUUUUUUUAUUUAUCUUUUUCUCUUUUAUUCUUUUUCUCUUUUUUUAUCUCCUUUUUCCUCUUCUUCCUUUUUUUUAUUUCUCUUUUUUUUCGUUUUUCAUGUUCUUUUCUUUUUCUUCUUUUCUUUUUCCCUUUUUUUUCAUCUUUUUUUCUUUUAAAAACUUCUUGCUCUUUUUUUUAUUCUUUCUUCGUUUUUUUGUGUGAUUACUUUCUUUUAAAAUUAAACAAAAUAGUAAAAUAAAAUUAAGAACAACAAUAAAAAUCAAGUUUCAUUAUUUAGUCACCUGGACGAAAUUGGGUAUUGACAGCUGCCCCUCUUUACUUAGAUAUUACUAGAUAAUAUGAAAAUUUGAUAUUUUUGUAUUAUCUGAGUAAAAGCUAAGUAAAGAUAGAAA
RNAcentral lists this long non-coding RNA (686 nucleotides) under Vigna radiata. Its description in RNAcentral is "long non-coding RNA (VRAD_LNC010415)". Lineage: Eukaryota; Viridiplantae; Streptophyta; Magnoliopsida; Fabales; Fabaceae. The record is from RNAcentral.